This 1034-nucleotide long non-coding RNA is filed under the name Homo sapiens (human). Its description in RNAcentral is "HSALNT0408177". Lineage: Eukaryota; Metazoa; Chordata; Mammalia; Primates; Hominidae. The record is from RNAcentral.
AUACCUGCACUGAAGCAACAGUCAUCUUUAAGCCAAAUAGGCGGAGAGAAAUGACUUCUUCAAAGUAUUCAGACAGGGUCUCACUCCGUCACCCAGGCUGGAGUACAGUGGCACAAUCUCGGUUCUCUGCAACCUCCAUCGCCCAGGCUCAAGUGAUCCCCCCACCUCAACCUCCCAAGUAGCUGGGAUUACAAGCCUGCACCUCUAUGCCCAGCUAAUUUUUGUGUUUUUAGUAGAGACAAGGUUUUGCCAUGUUGGCCAGGCUGGUCUCGAACUCCUGACCUCAGGUGAUCCAAAAGCCUUGGCCUCCCCAAGUGCUGGGAUUACAGGCUUGAGCCACCACACCUGGCCAAUUAUUUUAUUAAGCCAGAUGAAUCUAGCUCUGGACAGUUAUAAGCAAAGAAAAACUAACGGAAAAAUACAGAGGCCUGAAGAAUCACAGAGGGAAACUCAUUUGUUCCUCUGGCAGCUCUCCCCAAGGACACCUGUGAGACAAAGUCAGAAGUGGCUUCCCUGGUGACCCAGAGAGACCACAGGGCUCUUGCCGCUGCUUCCUCUACUCCCGUAUUUUGCCGAGCUCUCUAAAUUGUCUCAGCUCUAGUCACAGAGAAAAAAGCCAUGUGAGGACACAGUGAGAAGCUGCUAUCUGCAAGCUGAGAAGAGAAACAUCACUAGAAACCAUCCCUGCUGGCACUUGAUCUUGACUUUCAGCUUUCAGAACUUUGAGAAAAUAAAUGUGUGUCGCUUAAGCCAGUUCAUCUUUAGUUAUUUUGUUAUGUCAGCCUGAGCAGAAUUAGACAAAUACUAAUAGUAAACUAUAAGGUAAACUGUAGGCUUUGGGUAAUGACGUGUCAAUAGAUUUAUCAAUUGUAACAAAUGUAUCACUGUGAUGUGGGACAUUGAUAGAGCAGGAUGUUGUGCAUGUGUGGGCUGUGUGGGAGCAAAUCAUAUAUGGGAAUUCUCUUAACAUUCUAUUGAAUUUUUCUAAGAACUUACAACUGAUCUAAAAAUAAAGUCUGUUUUUUUAAAAAAUA